UUAGCGGCGCUUUUCAGCGCCACUAAAAGUAUCACAAGCGCCGCA
Gossypium hirsutum (cotton) is the source of this 45-nucleotide non-coding RNA. Lineage: Eukaryota; Viridiplantae; Streptophyta; Magnoliopsida; Malvales; Malvaceae. The record is from Rfam.